GAUGAACGCUGGCGGCGUGCCUAAUACAUGCAAGUCGAGCGAACGGACGAGAAGCUUGCUUCUCUGAUGUUAGCGGCGGACGGGUGAGUAACACGUGGAUAACCUACCUUUAAGACUGGGAUAACUUCGGGAAACCGGAGCUAAUACCGGAUAAUAUUUUGAACCGCAUGGUUCAAAAGUGAAAGACGGUCUUGCUGUCCCUUAUAGAUGGAUCCGCGCUGCAUUAGCUAGUUGGUAAGGUAACGGCUUACCAAGGCAACGAUGCAUAGCCGACCUGAGAGGGUGAUCGGCCACACUGGAACUGAGACACGGUCCAGACUCCUACGGGAGGCAGCAGUAGGGAAUCUUCCGCAAUGGGCGAAAGCCUGACGGAGCAACGCCGCGUGAGUGAUGAAGGUCUUCGGAUCGUAAAACUCUGUUAUUAGGGAAGAACAUAUGUGUAAGUAACUGUGCACAUCUUGACGGUACCUAAUCAGAAAGCCACGGCUAACUACGUG
RNAcentral lists this ribosomal RNA (497 nucleotides) under uncultured bacterium. Its description in RNAcentral is "partial 16S ribosomal RNA". It matches the Rfam family "Bacterial small subunit ribosomal RNA", at positions 28 to 507 of the family's 1533-position model. The record is from RNAcentral.